RNAcentral lists this ribosomal RNA (466 nucleotides) under Veillonella parvula. Its description in RNAcentral is "bacterial SSU rRNA". It matches the Rfam family "Bacterial small subunit ribosomal RNA", at positions 28 to 471 of the family's 1533-position model. The record is from RNAcentral. Lineage: Bacteria; Bacillati; Bacillota; Negativicutes; Veillonellales; Veillonellaceae.
GACGAACGCUGGCGGCGUGCUUAACACAUGCAAGUCGAACGAAGAGCGAUGGAAGCUUGCCUCUAUCAAUCUUAGUGGCGAACGGGUGAGUAACGCGUAAUCAACCUGCCCUUCAGAGGGGGACAACAGUUGGAAACGACUGCUAAUACCGCAUACGAUCUAACCUCGGCAUCGAGGAUAGAUGAAAGGUGGCCUCUACAUGUAAGCUAUCACUGAAGGAGGGGAUUGCGUCUGAUUAGCUAGUUGGAGGGGUAACGGCCCACCAAGGCGAUGAUCAGUAGCCGGUCUGAGAGGAUGAACGGCCACAUUGGGACUGAGACACGGCCCAGACUCCUACGGGAGGCAGCAGUGGGGAAUCUUCCGCAAUGGACGAAAGUCUGACGGAGCAACGCCGCGUGAGUGAUGACGGCCUUCGGGUUGUAAAGCUCUGUUAAUCGGGACGAAAGGCCUUCUUGCGAAUAGUGAG